AGAGCUCAUAAUUCGUUGAAUGCACCAGUUUCGAUGGAUCACUGAAGUUAAGCAACGUCGCGUGUGGUUGGUAUCAGGUUGAAUUACCAUCUGGGUAAUCGCGUGUCGAAUUUU
Molecule: ribosomal RNA, 114 nt
Filed under: Diaphorina citri (Asian citrus psyllid)
Lineage: Eukaryota; Metazoa; Arthropoda; Insecta; Hemiptera; Psyllidae
Source: RNAcentral